AAGCAUCUAAGCGUGAAGCCCCCCUCAAGAUGAGAUUUCCCAUGGAGUUAAUCCAGUAAGACCCCUUAGAGAAGAUGAGGUAGAUAGGUCCGGUGUGGAAGUGCAGCAAUGCAUGGAGCUGACGGAUACUAAUAGGUCGAGGGCUUAACCAAAGCUC
RNAcentral lists this ribosomal RNA (157 nucleotides) under Vulcanibacillus modesticaldus. Its description in RNAcentral is "partial 23S ribosomal RNA". It matches the Rfam family "Bacterial large subunit ribosomal RNA", at positions 2775 to 2925 of the family's 2925-position model. Lineage: Bacteria; Bacillati; Bacillota; Bacilli; Caryophanales; Bacillaceae. The record is from RNAcentral.